Molecule: long non-coding RNA, 2202 nt
Organism: Rosa chinensis
Lineage: Eukaryota; Viridiplantae; Streptophyta; Magnoliopsida; Rosales; Rosaceae
Exons: 11
Source: RefSeq, a predicted model, not a curated record
CAUCUAUGGACUUACUAAAGACUUAAUCAUACAUUAACUAGCAGGAUUACGAGGGUCAAGCCUCCGAGUUGUAAUGGCUGGAUUCCCUAAGACCAAAUGCCCCCAUCCUCAGGUGACAAUGUAUCUAUUGUACAGGAAAUUGCUUUGGCUCCCACAGCAAGCUAAAAGCAUUUACAAAAAGCAUUUACAAUGGCAUUGGAAUUUCAAGCUGAUGGUUGAUAUACCAAGUAGUUUACAAUCAGGUCCUUACCAACCCUAGUGUCAGCACUUGCUACUAAACCAGUUGAAUGCGACUGCAGUGUCGCAGACAUUUGAAAGCAGUUCUUUCUGUGGUUUAUUUCUCUGUCCUUGCCGGGUCCUCUUCUGCCCUUCUAUCCCCUAAGUUCACUUGCUUCAGGUUGAGUCCUUGAUCUUUCCCCAGUAUCUAGCAGGGUUGAAGAUCUAAUGCUUCUUCAGAUGCUGGAACCCAGCUCUCUAUCCAGUGGAGAUGUCUGUAAUCUGUAGCUUUAUUUCUUCAAUAUUUGGGUAAGUACAGGGCAGUGUGAUUCUAAGAAUAGGAAAUUGAAUGAUAUAGUUCCUUUUCCAACAUCUAAUUUAUUCAUCCAUUCACUUGAAAUUCAGAAAGGAGGUUCUAUGAAUGGUAAAAUUAUGCAAGUAUGUAUUGGUUAAGUUUCUCUUUUGUUUAAAGCUAUUAACAAAUUAAGUUGAUUGCUUGAGAUGAGAUUGAUAGUUAAAUGCAAGAAAAUGAUAAUAUUUGGUAAUGGAUCGAAAUGCAGAAAGGCUUGCAAGCAAACUCUUAUGUGGAGGGAAUAGGGAGGUCAGGUCUUUUUAGUUCUGAUGAUUGGAGUCCACUACAAGAUGAUCCCCAACCGUCAGUAUUCUUUGUGCUAUAUUGAAAAUAAAAUUUCCAGUCCACCUUUGGGUAGUUUGGAACUGACUGUCUUCAUUUAAUACAGCUUAUAGACUACAGAGGAAUUCUUCACACUAUCUCGUACUGUACUGCUUAGAUUUAAUCUAAAAGCGUUUACAAUGGCAUUGGGAUUUUCAAGCUGAUGACUGGAUAUAUGCCUUGGGAUGUCAUCAUAAGAUCAUUCAACUGUAGUCCAGCUUGAGAAAUUGAACCAUCUGCAAAACAGCAUUUUAUGUCAGAGGUUUAUCUAACAAUGUGCACCAUCAAGAAAACUCUGCACACAUUGAUGGAUUGAUGAGGUUCUUACUAAAGCAAGGCAUUUUGCUUCACGUAUCUCAGAGAAGUUAAUUAAGAGUGGAUGUGUCCCUGAAUUCCAUUCCAUGGAAACACUGGGGAUGACCCUAAAUGGCUUGUAAGCAUUGAACAGGAAGCUAUGGGAGUUUGUGAUCAUGAGCGGUCACGCGAGGAAGUUCGACACCAGAUUGUUUCGUUGGUUAUAUAUUUGUACCUAGGAAGGAAAAUAUUUAAGGCGACUAAAUAGUGGUGAAAUUGAUACUUACAUCAUUCAUCAUCAGGAUUGUGAUGAUAUUGUUUGUGGCUAGUACCCAAGACUGUUCUGUUAUGCCAUCUAGAAACCAGCACUUUCCACUGAACUGAGUGAAUGUGCAAUGAUCUUCAGAGACAUUUGAAAGCUGUUCUUUCUGUGAUUCAUCUUGCUGUCCCUACCGGAUCCUCCUCUGCUCUUCUAUCCCCAAAGUUCACUUGGUGAUGUGGUGCUGAAAACCUAUACAGCAAUUGCACAAUACAUGAGUAGAGGUGAAACUAAAAUUGGAAAGCAAAGCUACAUCUUCGUUUGGGAAUUCUUUUUAUGCCUAUCUCACUCUGGUAUGGUGGUAAACCUCAAACUGCAGAAAACCAAAGUUGCUCUGCCAGACUCCUUUAUGAGUAAACUGAUCUCUUCUCUUGAGGCUUCUGUUGUGUUCCAAGAGAGGAAAUUAUGAACCUAGCUAUCACUCAAUUAGUCAUAAAAUUAGACAGUUGCUGGCUACGUCUCAUCUCAUAGCUGUAGUUUGCUGUGGAAUUAAUCAAAGCAGAAGAUUUCUGCGUUGGUUCAGCCUGUGAACCAUUAAUUAUUUGCUCAGGUCAUCAAAUGCUUUGUAAAUAGAUGAUUUUGUGAUGUGGCUGAAGAGCAUCCUGAUUGAUUUGCUCGACCACCCACCGGUCCAGGCUGAUUAUUUCUGUUGUACAUCUUAUGAAUAACUUAAUAAAGUUUGAGGUAUUUCAUGAAAAAA